This 292-nucleotide ribosomal RNA is filed under the name uncultured bacterium. Its description in RNAcentral is "partial 16S ribosomal RNA". It matches the Rfam family "Bacterial small subunit ribosomal RNA", at positions 505 to 796 of the family's 1533-position model. The record is from RNAcentral.
GUGUCAGCCGCCGCGGUAAUACGGAGGAUGCAAGCGUUAUCCGGAAUGAUUGGGCGUAAAGCGUCCGCAGGUGGCUAUGUAAGUCUGCUGUUAAAGAGUCUAGCUCAACUAGAUAAGAGCAGUGGAAACUACAAGGCUAGAGUACGUUCGGGGCAGAGGGAAUUCCUGGUGUAGCGGUGAAAUGCGUAGAGAUCAGGAAGAACACCGGUGGCGAAGGCGCUCUGCUAGGCCGUAACUGACACUGAGGGACGAAAGCUAGGGGAGCGAAUGGGAUUAGAAACCCUUGUAGUCC